This 668-nucleotide long non-coding RNA is filed under the name Gadus morhua (Atlantic cod). Its description in RNAcentral is "lncRNA (ENSGMOG00000024558.1)". Lineage: Eukaryota; Metazoa; Chordata; Actinopteri; Gadiformes; Gadidae. The record is from RNAcentral.
AUGUCUCUUUCACCGUUUAGCUACACCCAGAAGGCUAGGAAGAAAGGAAAGGAAUCAGGAGGACCGUGGAGAGCACCGAGGAGGCCGAGUGGCUCUGUUCCUGGACAGCAGGCGGCAGAGAGACUAUACAUGACUCACGGCCAAGCAGCCCAGGAUCCCGAACACCACAGGGUCAGUGAGUGUGUCUGCCUCAGACUGGCCAAGGAGUUUGAGCAGUCACGCAACAGGCCCAAGGACACGAGGGGGAAAACCCUGCCCAUCCCUCAGUCGAUUGUGAGCGUCUACAGCCACAUUAGACAGCUGCUGGAGGACAGCAGGGUUAUCGUGGUCCAGACGGCGCUGGCUCUGGUGCCGGUGAACAACACCACGGUCUCUGCAUGGCUCCUCAAUUGCCAGCUCCUCCAGAGUGCCCAGACAAGGCAACGUGCCUGGAGGCUGAACAAAGCUGCCCAGGAGGAUGAGGAGCUAAUGGCAAGGGGGGAACCGCCACGGAAGAGGCUGGCAAAGGAGAAAUAUCACUACACCUGCAAGGGGUGUGGCCAGGACAAAAGCAAGCAAACUGGACACACCCAGCUGAAGGGGCGGUGGUACUGUCCAGAGUCAGGACAGACCCUGGAUGACUGGAGGAAGAGUGUAGUAGGCCUAUAGUCACCAUCACUUGUCUCUUU